AUUCCAGCUCCAAUAGCGUAUAUUAAAGUUGUUGUGGUUAAAAAGCUCGUAGUUGGAUCUCGGCGGACUGAGGGCGGUUUGCUUGCUAGUAUUACUGCCCUAUAGUCCGUAGUUUUGCCAGAGGUUUCGGGGUGCUCUUAAUCGAGUGUCCCGGGAUGCUGGCAGGUUUACUUUGAAAAAAUUAGAGUGCUCAAAGCAGGCUAUUACGCCUGAAUAUUCGUGCAUGGAAUAAUAGAAUAGGAAGUCGUUUCUAUUUUUUAGUGAUUAAUAGGGACAGUCGGGGGCAUUUGUAUUCAAACGACAGAGGUGAAAUUCUUGGACCGUUUGAAGACAAACUACUGCGAAAGCAUUUGCCAAGAAUGUUUUCAUUA
Molecule: ribosomal RNA, 371 nt
Filed under: Calanus sp.
Lineage: Eukaryota; Metazoa; Arthropoda; Copepoda; Calanoida; Calanidae
Description: partial small subunit ribosomal RNA
Rfam family: Eukaryotic small subunit ribosomal RNA
Source: RNAcentral